GACGAACGCUGGCGGCGUGCUUAACACAUGCAAGUCGAACGGAAAGGCGCUGCUUUUGUGGGGUGCUCGAGUGGCGAACGGGUGAGUAACACGUGAGUAACCUGCCCUUGACUUUGGGAUAACUUCAGGGAACUGGGGCUAAUACAGGAUAGGAGCUCCUGCAGCAGGGGGGGGGUUGGAAAGAUUCGGUGGUGGGGGCUGGACUCGCGGCUUAUGGGCUUGUUGGUGGGGUAGUGGCUUACCAAGGCUUUGACUGGUAGCCGGCCUGAGAGGGUGACCGGCGACAUUGGUACUGAGGUACGGCACAGACUCCUACGGGAGGCAGCAGGGGGGAACAUUGCACAAUGGGCGCAAGCCUGAUGCAGCAGCGCCGCGUGCGGGAUGACGUCCUACGGGGUGUAAACCGCUUUCGCCUGUAACGAAGCGUGCGUGACGGUAAUGAAUAAAAAAGCAACGGCUAACUACGUG
This 468-nucleotide ribosomal RNA is filed under the name uncultured bacterium. Its description in RNAcentral is "partial 16S ribosomal RNA". It matches the Rfam family "Bacterial small subunit ribosomal RNA", at positions 28 to 507 of the family's 1533-position model. The record is from RNAcentral.